UUUCCUAGAGAUGGAUUGGUGCUUCGGGAACGUCUGAGACAGGUGCUGCAUGGCUGUCGUCAGCUCGUGUUGUGAAAUGUUGGGUUAAGUCCCGCAACGAGCGCAACCCUUAUCCUUUGUUGCCAGCGGUCCGGCCGGGAAACUCAAAGGAGACUGCCAGUGAUAAACUGGAGGAAGGUGGGGAUGACGUCAAGUCAUCAUGGCCCUUACGAGUAGGGCUACACACGUGCUACAAUGGCGCAUACAAAGAGAAGCGACCUCGCGAGAGCAAGCGGACCUCAUAAAGUGCGUCGUAGUCCGGAUUGGAGUCUGCAACUCGACUCCAUGAAGUCGGAAUCGCUAGUAAUCGUGGAUCAGAAUGCCACGGUGAAUACGUUCCCGGGCCUUGUACACACCGCCCGUCACACCAUGGGAGUGGGUUGCAAAAGAAGUAGGUAGCUUAACCUUCGGGAGGGCGCUUACCACUUUGUGAUUCAUGACUGGGGUGAAGUCGUAACAAGGUAAGCGUAGUGCU
RNAcentral lists this ribosomal RNA (514 nucleotides) under uncultured bacterium. Its description in RNAcentral is "bacterial SSU rRNA". It matches the Rfam family "Bacterial small subunit ribosomal RNA", at positions 996 to 1509 of the family's 1533-position model. The record is from RNAcentral.